GAUGAACGCUGGCGGCGUGCCUAAUACAUGCAAGUCGAGCGAACAGAUAAGGAGCUUGCUCCUUUGACGUUAGCGGCGGACGGGUGAGUAACACGUGGGUAACCUACCUAUAAGACUGGGAUAACUUCGGGAAACCGGAGCUAAUACCGGAUAACAUUUGGAACCGCAUGGUUCUAAAGUGAAAGAUGGUUUUGCUAUCACUUAUAGAUGGACCCGCGCCGUAUUAGCUAGUUGGUAAGGUAACGGCUUACCAAGGCGACGAUACGUAGCCGACCUGAGAGGGGGAUCGGCCACACUGGAACUGGCACAGGGUCCAAACCCCUACGGGAGGCAGGAGUGGGAAAUUUUCCGAAAGGGGGGAAGGCCUGACGGAGCAACGCCGCGGGGGGAAUGAAGGGUUUCGGCUCGUAAAACUCUGUUUUUAGGAAAAAAAAAACGUGUAAGUAACUGGGCACGUCUGGACGGUACCAAAUAAAAAAGCCACGGCAAACUACGU
RNAcentral lists this ribosomal RNA (496 nucleotides) under uncultured bacterium. RNAcentral's name for it is "partial 16S ribosomal RNA". It matches the Rfam family "Bacterial small subunit ribosomal RNA", at positions 28 to 506 of the family's 1533-position model. The record is from RNAcentral.